RNAcentral lists this ribosomal RNA (494 nucleotides) under uncultured bacterium. Its description in RNAcentral is "partial 16S ribosomal RNA". It matches the Rfam family "Bacterial small subunit ribosomal RNA", at positions 28 to 507 of the family's 1533-position model. The record is from RNAcentral.
GACGAACGCUGGCGGCGCGCUUAACACAUGCAAGUCGAACGGAAAGGCCUGCUUUCCCUUGUGGAUUGCGGGUACUCGAGUGGCGAACGGGUGAGUAACACGUGAGUGAUCUGCCCCCAACUUGGGUAUAAGCCUGGGAAACUGGGUCUAAUUCCCGAUAGGACUGCAGGGUGGUGCCUGUGGUGGAAAACGAUUUUCUAGUGGUUGGGGAUGAGCUCGCGGCCUAUCAGCUUGUUGGUGGGGUAAUGGCCUACCAAGGCGUCGACGGGUAGCCGGCCUGAGAGGGUGGACGGCCACAUUGGGACUGAGAUACGGCCCAGACUCCUACGGGAGGCAGCAGUGGGGAAUAUUGCACAAUGGGCGGAAGCCUGAUGCAGCGACGCCGCGUGGGGGAUGACGGCCUUCGGGUUGUAAACUCCUUUCGACCGCGAGGAAGCCACCUGGUUGGAAGGGUGGUGACGGUAGUGGUAGAAGAAGCACCGGCUAACUACGUG